Molecule: ribosomal RNA, 253 nt
Filed under: uncultured bacterium
Lineage: Bacteria
Description: partial 16S ribosomal RNA
Rfam family: Bacterial small subunit ribosomal RNA
Source: RNAcentral
UACAGAGGGGGCAAGCGUUGUUCGGAAUUACUGGGCGUAAAGCGCACGUAGGCGGCUUGUUAAGUCAGGGGUGAAAUCCUGGAGCUCAACUCCAGAACUGCCUUCGAUACUGAGAGUCUCGAGUCCGAGAGAGGUGAGUGGAACUGCGAGUGUAGAGGUGAAAUUCGUAGAUAUUCGCAAGAACACCAGUGGCGAAGGCGGCUCACUGGCUCGGUACUGACGCUGAGGUGCGAAAGCGUGGGGAGCAAACAGG